RNAcentral lists this long non-coding RNA (2857 nucleotides) under Brassica rapa (field mustard). RNAcentral describes it as "long non-coding RNA (BRAP_LNC003139)". The record is from RNAcentral. Lineage: Eukaryota; Viridiplantae; Streptophyta; Magnoliopsida; Brassicales; Brassicaceae.
AGAAGCGUAGAUGUAGACUGGAGGUGGGGGAGAUUUUACUGGUGGUGGUGGAGAGUUGUAAUGGUACGGUGGUGGUGGGGAUUUCACUGGAGGAGGUGGUGAAUGGUAGUAGUAAGGUGGUGGGGGAGAUUUGACUGGAGGGGGUGGAGAGUUGUAAUGGUACGGUGGUGGUGGGGAUUUCACCGGAGGAGGUGGUGAAUGGUAGUAGUAUGGUGGUGGUGGAGAUUUGACUGGAGGGGGUGGUGAGUGAUAAUAGUAUGGUGGAGGAGGAGACUUCACAGGUGGGGGUGGUGAGUGGUAGUAGUAAGGUGGUGGAGGUGAUUUCACUGGUGGGGGAGGUGAGUGAUAGUAGUAUGGUGGUGGUGGAGAUUUCACCGGAGGAGGUGGGGAGUGGUAGUAGUAUGGUGGUGGUGGAGAUUUCACCGGAGGAGGUGGUGAGUGGUAGUAGUAAGGUGGAGGAGGAGAUUUCACCGGUGGAGGUGGGGAGUGGUAGUAGUAUGGUGGUGGUGGAGAUUUCACCGGUGGAGGUGGUGAGUGGUAGUAGUAUGGUGGUGGUGGAGAUUUCACCGGAGGAGGUGGGGAGUGGUAGUAGUAUGGUGGUGGUGGAGAUUUCACCGGAGGAGGUGGGGAGUGGUAGUAGUAAGGUGGAGGAGGAGAUUUCACCGGAGGAGGUGGUGAGUGGUAGUAGUAUGGUGGUGGUGGAGAUUUCACCGGAGGAGGUGGUGAGUGGUAGUAGUAUGGUGGUGGUGGAGAUUUCACCGGAGGAGGUGGUGAGUGGUAGUAGUAUGGUGGUGGUGGAGAUUUCACCGGAGGAGGUGGGGAGUGAUAGUAGUAAGGUGGAGGAGGAGACUUCACCGGAGGAGGUGGGGAGUGGUAGUAGUAAGGAGGGGGUGGCGACUUCACGGGAGGAGGUGGGGAGUGGUAGUAGUAAGGAGGGGGAGGAGAUUUCACCGGAGGAGGUGGAGAGUGGUAGUAGUAAGGUGGGGGUGGAGACUUCACCGGAGGAGGUGGGGAGUGGUAGUAGUAAGGAGGGGGUGGAGACUUCACCGGAGGAGGUGGAGAGUGGUAGUAGUAAGGUGGAGGAGGAGACUUCACCGGAGGAGGUGGAGAAUGGUAAUAGUAAGGAGGAGGAGGAGAUUUCACCGGAGGAGGUGGUGAAUGAUAGUAGUAUGGUGGUGGAGGAGACUUGACCGGAGGUGGUGGAGAAUGGUAGUAGUAUGGAGGUGGUGGGGAUUUGACGGGUGGUGGUGGUGAGUGAUAAUAAUAUGGAGGUGGAGGAGAUUUUACUGGUGGUGGAGGAGAGUGGUAGUAGUAUGGUGUAGGAGUGUGCGUUGGAGGGGGUGGUGAUUUGUAAACAUACGUUGGAGUGGGAGGAGGCGGUGACUUGUAGACAUAGGUCGGAGUAGGAGGAGGUGGUGAUUUGUAAAUAUAGGUUGGAGUUGGUGGUGGUGGAGAUUUGUAAACAUAUGUUGGGGUUGGAGGUGGUGGUGACUUGUAUACAUAAGUAGGAGUUGGUGGAGGUGGUGACUUGUAGACAUAAGUAGGGGUUGGUGGUGGUGGAGAUUUAUAGACAUAAGUCGGGGUUGGUGGCGGUGGUGAUUUGUAAACAUAGGUCGGGGUUGGCGGUGGUGGUGACUUGUAAACAUAUGUCGGAGUUGGCGGUGGUGGUGAUUUGUAGACGUAAGUCGGAGUUGGUGGAGGUGGUGAUUUGUAGACAUAAGUUGGAGUUGGUGGUGGUGGAGACUUGUAGACAUAGGUUGGAGCCGGUGGUGGUGGUGACUUGUAGUAGUAAACCGGAGACGGUGGUGGUGGAGAUUUGUAAUAGUAUGGAGGAUGGUAAGGAGCCGGUUUGUGGCAUUCACCAUAAGGUUUCUUCGGUGCAUAAGCAAAGGACUUAGCAUAAAGCACAACCUCGUACUUUGUCUUUGAUUUCACAUGGAGUUUUGCACCUUUGUUACCCAUAUGGUAACUUGUAGGAAUGUUACAUGGCGAUCCCUUAGGAGGAGCAUGAAGCUUGGCCGUGCAGACUUCGCCACCGUAUUUACGGUAGUUGUAUCCUUUAACGGUGAUUGCGUAUUUACCGUUGAUUUUGGUCUUUCCGUAUGCCUUCACUGUCUUGUCACCGGCCUUGCAAGUCACUUCCACAACAGCACCUAUAUGACAAAAACAAAUUAUUAAAAUUUAAAAAUAUCAUUUGAUGUCCUUUUAGUUGGUAUAUCUACAAAAUCGAUUUUGCUUGUUCGAUCUCUUUGGAUUGUUUGUCAAUAACAGAUUCUUGUCUUUUUCUUGACUUAAUCUCGUUUUCUUUUCUCCACUAAUAAAAAUAAAAUCUAGAUCACAUGCAACUACUAGUACUUUACAAUACAUAUAUGCUAGUUAAUUAUUUAAGUCCUAUAAGCAUCAAGAUAAAAUUAUGUAAAUUAGUUAAGGAAUUUGCUAAGAUUAGAAUUUAUUAUUGAACACGUGGGGGAGACUUAUAAGUUACCUUUGAGAUGCUUCUUAUCGUGGGACUUUUUAGGGUAUGUCCAGUCAUAACAUCUGUAACAGUACACCUUACCAACAACUUUGAAGACAAGUGGAUGUGUGUGUGGGUGAGGAUGAGGGUAUGACACCGGAGGUGGUGGUGAUGAAUAGUAGUAUGGUGGAGAGUACGACUUUGGUGGUGGUGGUGGAGAUGAGUAGUAAUAUGGUGGAGGGUAAGAUUUUGGUGGUGGUGGAGAUGAGUAAUAGUAAGGUGGAGGUGGUGAUUUCACCGGAGGAGGCGGUGAAUGGUAGUAGUAUGGAGGUGGAGGAGAUUUGACCGGUGGUGGUGGAGAGUGAUAAUAGUAUGGCGGCGGUGGAGAUUUAACUGGGGGAG